CCUACGGGUGGCAGCAGUGAGGAAUAUUGGUCAAUGGCCGGAAGGCUGAAGCAGCCAUGCCGCGUGAAGGUCAGUGCCCUAUGGGCGGUAAAGUUCUUUCGUGCGGGAGCAAUAAUGGUCACGUGUGGCAAGAAGCGCGUACCGUACGAGUAAGAAUCGGCUAAAUCCGUGCCAGCAGCCGCGGUAAUACGGGGGGUGGAAGCGUUAUCGGGAUUUGUUGGGUUUAAAGGGGGCGGAGGCUGGGGGGUAAGUCGGCGGGGAAAUUCCCCGGGUCAACGGGGUGAAUUGCCAUUGAUACUGGCUUGCUGGAGUGCUGAUGAGGGGGGAAGAAUGUGUGGUGUAGCGGUGAAAUGCAUAGAGAUCA
This 364-nucleotide ribosomal RNA is filed under the name uncultured bacterium. Its description in RNAcentral is "partial 16S ribosomal RNA". It matches the Rfam family "Bacterial small subunit ribosomal RNA", at positions 338 to 699 of the family's 1533-position model. The record is from RNAcentral.